CAGUCGCCGCGGGAAUACGGAGGGUGCAAGCGUUAUCCGGAUUUACUGGGUUUAAAGGGUGCGUAGGCGGACUUGUAAGUCCGAGGUGAAAUCUCUGAGCUUAACUCGGAAACUGCCUUGGAUACUAUAGGUCUUGAAUCUCGUUGAGGUUUGCGGAAUAUGUCAUGUAGCAGUGAAAUGCGUAGAGAUCGGAAGGAACAUCUGUGGCGAAGGCGACUAUCUGGGCCAACACUGACACUGAGGCACGAAAGCGUGGGGAGCAAACAGGAUUAGAUACCCGUGUAGUCCCUGUCUCUUAUAC
RNAcentral lists this ribosomal RNA (301 nucleotides) under uncultured bacterium. RNAcentral's name for it is "partial 16S ribosomal RNA". It matches the Rfam family "Bacterial small subunit ribosomal RNA", at positions 509 to 807 of the family's 1533-position model. The record is from RNAcentral.